GGUGUGCCCUAUGCACGCACACAUGCACAAUACUAUUUAUGCAUGUGUUAGUGCAGCAGCGAGUGAAACCGCUGUAAAAAAGAGACGGCUGCACACGCACAAAUCCAACAUGGCCGCCACACACACACACACACAUGCGUUAUAGCGUCGAUGCGUGUGCGUGUAUGCAAUAUCUACGUUUCAUCCCUCCUUUGCAAGAAUAUAUUAAGCACAUGCGCAAGCACACGCGUCGAAGUUGUUUGGUAGCAGCUGCUUAUUCGUUUUGUGCUCUUCCUUUUUUUGGCAAGGGGGUUUUAGCCGCAUGUAGUUAAAACUUCACUGCAAACUUGAGGCUUAGCUCUAUUUCUAUACCGAAGACUUUUGCCAGACACGACUAGGAGUGCUCAUUAAACUUUUGUCUACCCAUGGCGUGGCAUUAACAACUUCAUCUGGAAUGCGUAGUGCGUCUGCAUAAAUGCUGUCGAAAAUUGUCAAAUAAAUCACUCAUAUUUAUAUAAAUGCCCCUGGUAUCCAAGCCACAACCGCAGGUCUCUUCUGUCUCUAGCCGCAACUAGUCGUCACUUGAAAAUAUGCAAAUUAAUAAGCCACUGCCCGGCCGUAUUCUCUUUGUCCACGGCUGCCAGAUAAGCGUCCCCUGCAAACGUGUUUCCGCAUAAAUUACUUAUCGCCAGCUCAAACUGGCGGCGCAGUGCUGGAGGUGACAGCAAAAACAAAACAAGCUCAACAUGGCAGGCGGUACGACAACUAUGGUGUCUGGUGUGCGUCAUGUGUGUUUCACUGCCAUGUUGAAUGGAUACUCGAUUAAAACAGCCGAAAACGUGUCUGCUCUUAUACAAGAAAUCUUACUAUAAUUUUAGGUUUUCCGAGAUAGCCUACAUAUAUAAAUAAUAAUAAUAAAUAAUAAUAAUACA
Molecule: long non-coding RNA, 911 nt
Organism: Drosophila virilis
Lineage: Eukaryota; Metazoa; Arthropoda; Insecta; Diptera; Drosophilidae
Source: RefSeq, a predicted model, not a curated record